Molecule: long non-coding RNA, 4642 nt
Filed under: Podarcis lilfordi (Lilford's wall lizard)
Lineage: Eukaryota; Metazoa; Chordata; Lepidosauria; Squamata; Lacertidae
Source: RNAcentral
AUCUGAGGAUCACAGGGCGGUUAACAAUAUAAAAACACAAAAUAGAUAACAGUACCAAUUUUUUAAAAAAAUGCCCCCCUCCAUAAUUUAAAAGGCCAUAGAUUGGCUAAGGCCUGGGAGAAGAGGAAUGUUUUUGCCUAGUGCCUAAAGAUAUGUGACGAAGACACCAGCUCAGUGACCCUGGGGAAGAGUAUUCCACAAGCCGGGAGCCACUGCAGGAAAGGCCCUGCUCUCGUGUUGCCACCCCCAGACCUCUUGUGGAGGAGGCACACAAAGAAGGGCCUCAGAGAAUGAUCUCAGGGUCCGGAUAGGUUCAUAUGGAGAGAGGCGAUCCUUGAGGUAUGGCAGGUUUGAGCCUUUUAAGGCUUUAUAGGUCAUGCUUCUUGGAGAAUCUGCAUACUGACUGGAGAAUGUGUUUAUAACCCAGUGAAUGCACAAAAUGCAUUUGAGAUAUUCACUUUCCCCAAAGCCUGUUAGAGAUUAUGCAUGAUGGCUGAAGAACGUAUAAAAAUCCAGUUGAUUAUAUGCACAUUUCCCAAGGCCUGUUGGAGAUUAUGUAUGAUCGACCAGGAAAUAUGCAGAGCUCCCCCUUUAUGGCUGGAUUAUGUGCACAUUCUCCAUGAGUUCUGGUGAAUGUACACCCGCCCCCCGUCCCGGAUAAUGUGAAUUGACAAUAGGCCUUUCUAAAGAGCUUAUCUGAGAAACCUCAUCCAAGAAGUUGGAAAACUCUUGUCUGUAAAUAAUCUGUAUCUGCAAGUGCUUUUCUUUGUAGCUCAACCUUCUUAGCACGUUUGCAAGCUCUGGGCGCUGAUGACGUUUUAAGUGUAUAAAUAUGUGAUGCUAUAAAGCACUGUAUACAUUGGUGGGAUAAUAAUAACAGAACAUGUAGCAUUUUAUAUCUACAAAACAGAUUUAAACUGGUUUGAUAGUGAUUCCUUCUCACCACCAGAUAAAUUGGGAACUGGAAUUCUUUAGAGCGAAUUCUCAACGCUGUACACAAGCUGCAGUUCCCAGUUCUUUUGGGGAAGCCGUGACGGUUAAACUGGUAUAAAACCAAUACAUUUUUACAGUACAGAAAUGUCAUUUGUGUUUCCUGUUGGAGUGAUCUUGUCUCCGCUUUUAAGAAAAACACAAAAACAUGUGGAUCAUAUUGCUAUGCAGUCAAGUCAUUCCACAAGCUGGCUAAUGAGGCUAGCUUUAAAUGAGCAAGCUGUGUUUUAUUUUCUAAAGCUUCUUAGGAUCUUAAACAUGGAAGCUGCUUGCUUGACUACUUUCAAGGCGGCAAAUUUGGAAAAACUGUACCUCAUUUGUUCUCAGUAUUACAUUGUUAACGGUAUGUUCCCAACUGUUUUUUUGAAAAGAUAGGAUGGGGACGCGGGUGGCGAUGUGGGUUAAACCACAGAGCCUAGGACUUGCCGAUCAGAAGGUCGGCGGUUCGAAUCCCCGCAAUGGGGUGAGCUCUCGUUGCUCGGUCCCUGCUCCUGCCAACCUAGCAGUUCAAAAGCACAUCAAAGUGCAAGUAGAUAAAAAGGUACCGCUCCGGCGGGAAGGUAAACGGUGUUUCUGUGUGCUGCUCUGGUUCGCCAGAAGUCAUGCUGGCCACAUGACCUGGAAGCUGCACGCCGGCUCCCUCGGCCAAUAAAGUGAGAUGAGCGCCGCAACCCCAGAGUCGGUCACGACUGGACCUAAUGGUCAGGGGUCCCUUUACCUUUACCUUAUCGUGGUGCAGCCAAGUCAUAAACCCAGCUUUCUUAAGAUAAUUGCUGCAAAUACUGCCCAGCCUCCUGAUUGGCCGCUCUUGGUAGAAUUUAAACAAAUAUAGCUUGGGUUAGCUGACCGGAAAGCUCACAUCACCACGCAAUAUGUCCCUUGUUCUACAUUUCUGCUACUUUAUUUUGUCUUAGGGUAAUAGUCUCCGUUAACAAACUCAUUUUUUAUUGCAAAUUUUAAACGAUCUACGAAUUUGCGGUAGCAUUUGGUUUUAUAAAGUAACUUUGAUCUCUGUGUCAGUGUUUAUAGGCUUUUCCCACCAGGAACUAUUGUUUUGCUAUAAUGUGCAUUCCUGCAGACGUGACAGGGAAAUUUGAAUAAUGCAUGUCAAGGUUUGUUUAUUAGGCAUAUUGCAAGAUGGUACCCAGAGUGCCAGUGUGGUUGAUAUUUAUGCUGGUUGAGUGGAAUUGCUUUACCAAAAGAAAGGGUUGCACUAGUUGCAUGUCACCGCACUUGACCUGUUCAACAUGUGAUCAACUCUUUAAUCAACAACUUGCACUCAUAAGCAGUGCUUUUUUUCUGGGGGGCGGGAAAUAUUUAGGGGUACUCUCAUUUUCCUACUCACAUUGAAAUACUGCCUCUCAGUGAGGCCAAACCUAGAUUCACAAAAUGUUUAGGGGUGUGCGUACCCAUGCGUUCCCUCAGAAAAAAGACCUACACUGGCUCCCGGUAUGUUUCCGAGCACAAUUCAAAGUGUUGGUGCUGACCUUUAAAGCCCUAAACGGCCUCGGUCCAGUAUACCUGAAGGAGCGUCUCCACCCCCAUCGUUCUGCUCUGAGGUCCAGCGCCGAGGGCCUUCUGGUGGUUCCCUCGUUGCGAGAAGCCAAGUUGCAGCGAACUAGGCAGAGGGCCUUCUCGGUGGUGGCACCCACCCCGUGGAACGCCCUCCCACCAGAUGUCAAAGAGAAAAAUAACUACCAAACUUUUAGAAGACAUCUGAAGGCGGCCCUGUUUAGGGAAGCUUUUAAUGUUUGAAGGAUUAUUGUAUUUUAAUAUUCUGUUGGAAGCCGCCCAGAGUGGCUGGGGAAACCCAGUCAGAUGGGCGGGGUAUAAAUAAUAAAUUAUUAUUAUUAUUACUGCUCAUAAGUAUCAGCAGCCUGUGUUUUGGAAGAAAGUGGACUUUGGUCAAAUCACUCUCUUUCAACCUAGCCUGCAUUGUCACAAGUGUGGCAAUGUGAAGGUAAGACGAACCCUGCUCAAUGGGUUUAAGCUAAAUGUGAACACAGAACAGCAGCCUAAACCAGCGAUUGUGCAUCAAGGCCCUACCUCUCCACCCACCCUUUCAAGCAACUAGGAUAGGAAAAUAACAAUUAUGCUGGAUAUCCCAUUAUGUGGGAGUCUAGAGAAUGGGUUGAAGUAAGAGCAAGAACCCGAGUUCAUGACGAAGGUUCAGGAUCAUAUUUUAGGAGCUGAAAUAGAAGGGGGCACCAUUGCCCCUGAAUCACUAAAUAUCCCAAGUUAGCAGUGGGCAAGAACAGGUAGGAAAAAUUCGUGGAGUCUGUAUGGAAACUACACCAGUGGAAACUAGAAUGAGAAAAAAUGGGAGCUAAAUAAUGUUUGGGGUGGAUAAAGAGCUGCUGUAGUAGGACUAGGAAGACUGAUACCACAAAAACCCCGUUCAUAUCCCACCUCUGACAUGAACUCACUAGAUUAUUUGAGGCAAACCACUCAGCUUCCAUCCGCAAUAUGGGGCAAUAAUACUGAACUACUUUGCAGGGUUGUAAGGAUUGUAACCAGGUGGCGCUAUGGGUUAAACCACAGAGCCUAGGACUUGCCGAUCAGAAGAUCGGCAGUUGGAACCCCCACGACGGGGUGAGCUCCCGCUGCUCGGUCCCUGCUCCUGCCAACCUAACAGUUCGAAAGCACAUCAGGUGCAAGUAGAUAAAUAGGUACCACUCUGGUGGGAAGGUAAACUGCGUUUCCGUGCGCUGCUCUGGUUUCGCCAGAAGCGGCUUAGUCAUGCUGGCCACAUGACCCGGAAGCUGUACACCGGCUCCCUUGGCCAAUAAAGCGAGAUGAGCGCUGCAACCCCAGAGUUGGCUACGACUGGACCUAAUGGUCAGGGGUCCCUUUACCUUUAAGAACAAAUAAAGGCAAAUGCUAAGUACUAGCAUGUUUAUUGGAAGUUCUUCCUACCUUCUAGGACAGGCUUCCUCAAACUUGGCCCUCCAGAUGUUUUUGGCCUAGCUAGCAGGACCAGUGGUCAGGGAUGAUGGGAAUUGUAGUCUCAAAACAUCUGGAGGGCCGAGGUUGAGGAAGCGUGUUCUAGGAAGUCAUAUCUUCAGUCCUGGCCCCUUUAACUGACAUGAGCUAUUGCCUCUUAUUUUGAAAAGCAUUUCUCACUGGUCUGUUAAAAUGGGUGUAUAUUUUUAAAUGUAAUCUCCUAUCACAGAGACCUUUUUAUACUGAAUUUUGUUUCGAGGUGGUGGUUGUUGUUUUUUAAAAUUCCUGAUGGCAACAUGCUUUUUACAUGUGCUGGAUGUUUGUUUUUGAUGCUGCCGUUACAGCUAAUAAAAAUCAAUACUAUUUGUGCCAGAAAUAACUUUGCCUUCCUUGUGGAGUGGGAGGAAACUUCCUUUGCCAGGUGAAACGUCUGUCAUGAUUUAAGGUGAAACCUUCAGUAUAUAUGUAAUAAAUUCUGUUUAACUCCUUUGUGGAUUGUAAGAUGUGCUUAUUCUACAACUGAACCCGCUCCAAGGUGACAUGAAGUAGCAUCAUCUUUAUACAAAUAUAUACCUCUCCCCUCAAAAGUGUUACCACAAAAAUACCAUUUUGACUUCAACGCUUGCUUAAUAACCUGUAAUUUCUGAGCGCUGUGGCUUUGCAAUGUUCAGACAUGUACAUCACAUUCUUGUAAAUAAAAGCCUUAAUC